AUAGAAUUAACUAGUUUUCUAAAUAGUGGAUAAGAUGAUAUUAUUUACAGUUUCUUAUUAUUAUUAUUUAAAA
RNAcentral lists this transfer RNA (73 nucleotides) under Bilobella aurantiaca. Its description in RNAcentral is "tRNA-Ser". The record is from RNAcentral. Lineage: Eukaryota; Metazoa; Arthropoda; Collembola; Poduromorpha; Neanuridae.